UACGGAGGGAGCUAGCGUUGUUCGGAAUUACUGGGCGUAAAGCGUACGUAGGCGGCUUUGUAAGUAAGAGGUGAAAGCCUGGAGCUCAACUCCAGAACUGCCUUUUAGACUGCAUCGCUUGAAUCCUGGAGAGGUGAGUGGAAUUCCGAGUGUAGAGGUGAAAUUCGUAGAUAUUCGGAAGAACACCAGUGGCGAAGGCGGCUCACUGGACAGGUAUUGACGCUGAGGUACGAAAGCGUGGGGAGCAAACAGG
This 253-nucleotide ribosomal RNA is filed under the name uncultured bacterium. Its description in RNAcentral is "partial 16S ribosomal RNA". It matches the Rfam family "Bacterial small subunit ribosomal RNA", at positions 524 to 776 of the family's 1533-position model. RNAcentral also lists the same sequence under 2 other names. The record is from RNAcentral.